RNAcentral lists this ribosomal RNA (468 nucleotides) under uncultured bacterium. RNAcentral describes it as "partial 16S ribosomal RNA". It matches the Rfam family "Bacterial small subunit ribosomal RNA", at positions 28 to 507 of the family's 1533-position model. The record is from RNAcentral.
GACGAACGCUGGCGGCGUGCUUAACACAUGCAAGUCGAACGGAAAGGCCCUGCUUUUGUGGGGUGCUCGAGUGGCGAACGCGUGAGUAACACGUGAGUAACCUGCCCUUGACUUUGGGAUAACUUCAGGAAACUGGGGCUAAUACCGGAUAGGAUCUCCUGCUGCAUGGUGGGGGUUGGAAAGUUUCGGCGGUUGGGGAUGGACUCGCGGCUUAUCAGCUUGUUGGUGGGGUAGUGGCUUACCAAGGCUUUGACGGGUAGGCGGCCUGAGAGGGUGACCGGCCACAUUGGUACUGAGAUACGGACCAGACGGCUACGGGCGGCAGCAGUGGGGAAUAUUGCACAAUGGGCGGAAGCCUGAUGCAGCAACGCCGCGUGCGGGAUGACGGCCUUCGGGUUGUAAACCACUUUCGCCUGUGACGAAGCGUGAGUGACGGUAAUGGGUAAAGAAGCACCGGCUAACUACGUG